Molecule: ribosomal RNA, 253 nt
Filed under: uncultured bacterium
Lineage: Bacteria
Description: partial 16S ribosomal RNA
Rfam family: Bacterial small subunit ribosomal RNA
Source: RNAcentral
UACGAAGGGGGCUAGCGUUGCUCGGAAUCACUGGGCUUAAAGGGCGCGUAGGCGGGUGUUCAAGUCCGGGGUGAAAUCCUCCAGCUCAACUGGAGAACUGCCUUGGAUACUGGGCACCUCGAGGGUGGUAGGGGUAUGCGGAACUAUCGGUGGAGCGGUGAAAUGCGUUGAUAUCGAUAGGAACUCCGGUGGCGAAGGCGGCAUACUGGACCACUUCUGACGCUGAGGCGCGAAGGCCAGGGGAGCGAACGGG